AGAGUUUGAUCCUGGCUCAGAUUGAACGCUGGCGGAAUGCUUUACACAUGCAAGUCGAACGGCAGCACGGGAGCUUGCUCCUGGUGGCGAGUGGCGAACGGGUGAGUAAUGCGUCGGAACGUACCGAGUAAUGGGGGAUAACGCASCGAAAGKUGUGCUAAUACCGCAUACGCCCUGAGGGGGAAAGCRGGGGAUCGUAAGACCUYGCGUUAUUCGAGCGGCCGACGUCUGAUUAGCUAGUUGGUGRGGUAAWGGCYYACCAAGGCGACGAUCAGUAGCGGGUCUGAGAGGAUGAUCCGCCACACUGGRACUGAGACACGGYCCAGACUCCUACGGGAGGCAGCAGUGGGGAAUUUUGGACAAUGGGGGCAACCCUGAUCCAGCCAUUCCGCGUGAGUGAAGAAGGCCUUCGGGUUGUAAAGCUCUUUCAGCWGGAACGAAACGGURCGCUCUAACAUAGCGUGCUAAUGACGGUACCWGCAGAAGAAGCACCGGCUAACUACGUGCCAGCAGCCGCGGUAAUACGUAGGGUGCGAGCGUUAAUCGGAAUUACUGGGCGUAAAGCGUGCGCAGGCGGAUUGUUAAGCAAGACGUGAAAUCCCCGGGCUUAACCUGGGAAUGGCGUUUUGAACUGGCAGUCUAGAGUGUGUCAGAGGGGGGURGAAUUCCACGUGUAGCAGUGAAAUGCGUAGAGAUGUGGAGGAAYACCAAUGGCGAAGGCAGCCCCCUGGGAURACACUGACGCUCAUGUACGAAAGCGUGGGUAGCAAACAGGAUUAGAUACCCUGGUAGUCC
Molecule: ribosomal RNA, 795 nt
Filed under: uncultured bacterium
Lineage: Bacteria
Description: partial 16S ribosomal RNA
Rfam family: Bacterial small subunit ribosomal RNA
Source: RNAcentral